Molecule: ribosomal RNA, 468 nt
Filed under: uncultured bacterium
Lineage: Bacteria
Description: partial 16S ribosomal RNA
Rfam family: Bacterial small subunit ribosomal RNA
Source: RNAcentral
GACGAACGCUGGCGGCGUGCUUAACACAUGCAAGUCGAACGGAAAGGUCCUGCUCUUGUGGGGUGCUCGAGUGGCGAACGGGUGAGUAACACGUGAGUAACCUGUCCCUGACUUUGGGAUAUCUCUAGGAAACUGCGGCUCUUACCGCAUAGGAGCUCCUGCUGCAUGGUGGGGGUUGGAAAGAUUCGGCGGUUGGGGAUCGACUCGCGGCUUAUCCGCUUUUUGGUGUGGUAGUGGCUUACGAAGCCUUUGACGGGUAGCCGGCCUUAGAGGGGGACCGGCCACAUGGGGACUGAGGUAGGGCCCAGACUCCUACGGGAGGCAGCGGUGGGGAAUAUGACACAAUAGGCGGAAGCCAGAUGCAGCGACGCCGCGUGCGGGAUGACGGCCUUCGGGGGAUAAACCACUUUCGCCGGAAACGAGGCGUGAGUGACGGUAAUGGGUAAAAAAGCACCGGCUAACUACGUG